GGUGAGAUGGCCGAGCGGUCUAAGGCGCCAGACUAAGGAUCAGGACAUUUGAUGUCCAAUCUGCAAUUACUUUGCGAUAUCUGGUCCGAAAGGGCAUGGGUUCGAAUCCCAUUCUCAUCA
Molecule: transfer RNA, 120 nt
Filed under: Gymnopilus junonius
Lineage: Eukaryota; Fungi; Basidiomycota; Agaricomycetes; Agaricales; Galerinaceae
Rfam family: tRNA
About the family: Transfer RNA (tRNA) molecules are approximately 80 nucleotides in length. Their secondary structure includes four short double-helical elements and three loops (D, anti-codon, and T loops).
Source: Rfam by way of RNAcentral